AGAGAUCUGAUGCUUUGGAGACACAAAAUUCCUUGCCUUGUGCCUGAGGCACAAAGUCAUGUAACAGGUGAAUGGGGAGGUUCUUCCAAGUUAAUCUCCCAUGUCGUUCUGCUCCACCCAUCCCAGGACAAAGAUUUAAAUGUAAGAGACUACAGGCAUUGCUUUUUUUCCUGCUAUCAGAAUGAAGACCAUUAUCUGCUUGCUGCUAGUCUUCUUGCUGGAUCUAAGACCUCUUCAUGGAGAAGAGGAAUCUUUGCCAACGAAAGCAGCAGGUACGAGGAAAAAGUAAUUUAAUCAGGUUGCCUGUGGAUCUUGUCUAAUUUGGAUUUCAAACAGAGUUAUUCACUAAAGUGUGAUUUGUCAGUAAUUCAAAGGGAAUAACAAUUUUUAGGUCAAAAGAGCUGAAUUGUAAACACUUCACAAAUCAGCAAUGUUUGUGCCUUUACGGCGUUGUAGAAUGUAGUUUUGGGACAAGAACACACUGGGAAGUAAAUGGGCGUAAAAAUUUGCAGGUCAAAAUAUCAAAAUCACUGUGUUAUUCUCUGAAGCCCUGUUAUAAAGCUGAUUUUAGACUCAUUGAAAGUGCAGAUGGACAUCAUUGACAAUGCAGAUGUUUGGGAAGCUCACUUCCUUUGAUAACUUUACCCUUUAAGUUCCUGACUCUCGAUAAAUUGGCCACUAUAAUCUUCACAGAAGCAACGGCAGCCAACAUUGAGCUGUCAAAUUUUCAUGGAUUUAGAGAAAUCAUGGGACGUGCAUUGCAGCAAUAAUUUGACUACUGGUUAUUCCUGUUCUAAGAUUUUGUUGUCUUAUAGUAAUUGGAGAUCUCACAGGCACUCAUUUUUUUUUUUUUUUUUUACAGUGCAAUAAAGUGACAGCUCCUAAAGGGUUGAGUAUGGUCCUAUCCAUAGAUUGAUACACUCACCAGUUUCUAAGCAUACAAGCAGCUCUUUCAUAAUGUGUAGAUAUACAAGGAAUAAGGCUUCCUAUAGUUCUAAUAUACAAAGACCAAAUAAUGACCUCUGUUUUUGUGAGCGGUAAUGGGGUGGUACAUUUUGUAUGGGCUGAUUGACUCAUUAGCAUGAGAUAUAGAUAAGGUUUGUUUGUUGAAAGGUUGGGGGUGACUUGGGAUUGAGAGGUACCUAUUUACAAGAUGCUGUGGACUGUAACAACCAUGAUUCUCAGCUUGGCCGAGCUAAGAAUUAUGUUACCGAACUCACAAGGCACUACAAUUCACAAUAAUAUUUAAUGCAAAAUGUUGCGCAUGAAUGUAUCACAGAGUUCCACAGUAAUAAAACUGACAAUUAAUGUUUAUGGGUGCAUGAAUGUAUCAUAGAACUCCACAGCAGUAAAACUGGUUAUAAUGUCACAGAUUCCUACAGUGAUAAAAUUCAUUGUACUGUGUGGAAUGUAUGUGUAUAGCGGAACACAUGAAAAUACAUUAUUAUCACUUACAUUCACAUAGCACCAGAGCUACAUUAUUUUGCUUAAUUUGCUUAUGGGAGAGAUGGGACAUCCAAAAUAACUAUUGCAGACUUGGCCUAGCUGGUGAUAAUAAAUAGACAUUUCAUGCUGACUUAGAGAUCAUAUUUUAUUUAUGUUAUUGAUUUACAUUUAUCUUUAAGAGGUUAAAAAUACCUUGGUUAAUUGUCCCGAGAAAACCCAUCCCCCAUCUAUGUCUUCUAUUUCCACUUCUUCUGUCUCCCACCCUCCUUUUCUCAAAUCUGAAUGAGAAGUCAUUCAUGCAUGAAAGGUAUUAUAAGGGCAAUUAUUGUGCUGUUGUUGUUUUUUUAAAUUUGUGUAUAGGUGAUUGCACAAAAUUUAAAUGGAUUGCAGCACAUAUUACUAAUGUAUUUAUCAGAGUACCUGUGUCUUGGCCAGCUUGUAACUAGUAGUGUCAGUCAGCAUACAUUUUUCUGUUCUUCUCUGAAAUUUUAUAAAUGGAUUUAGGAAUGUGUUACAAGCAUGUAAGAUCUAAUUGUUGUCCUAAACAAGUCACACAUUGUAGGUGCACUCUUUCUCCUAUGAAUAAGUCUUGCACUUUGAUUAUCUGUACUCAGCGAUAAUCCGUAAGAGUAUAGAUUACAAUUGAAUUCUAUCAAAGGGGACCAAAUGGCCCCAAGUCCAUUUUUUGGGGGGCAUCAAUUAUGGUGGAUGUAUUUCUCAAAGUCAUUAGAGUCUUUAGUGGGCAAGCCAUGCAGCAUUAAAAUUGGAUUAAAAGAAUGCACUGUGAUGGGUUGACUUGUAAAACCAACCAUCCUUCCUUCCAACCACGGAAUAGUUGUCGACAACAUUUGUCUGAAUCUUUGAAUUGCUUAUCAGAACAGUAUAUCUGAUUGGCAAUUUUUAAGGCAUUUCUUGGUAUGUUGCUGCAGGCAAUAGUUUCACUAGGCCAAAGACUUUCUGAGCAUCUAGACUCCGAAGCACAGCAUUUGGGGUCUCUGAUUUCUAACCUAAAACCGCCUGGUUCUGGAACUUUGCUAGAUUUGGUAGGGUUACUGCAUAUUUGACCUCCUCCUUCAAGAUAUACACGCAUGAUAGCUAAGCAUUGUGUAGGAGAUCCACACCCAGUCGAUAAUUCUCAUGGAAAUUUGGAAUAGAUGCAAGUAAUAUUUAUGAAAGAUUGAAUUAAUAAAAAUCAUAUCAGAAGUCUGAGAGCCAUCUGUCAGUGUGAUACUGGAAAUGGAGUACCUACCUGUUUUUUGUUUAUAUACAUACAUGAUGUUGCAAAAGUUUCUCUGAUUUAUUUUUUCCAUCUAUAUAUUGAAUUCAAGUUAUGAGGAAGCCCUAUGGAGCAUGAAGGGGUAAAGUAAUUGUUUGUUUCUGUGUACAUUAGUUAUGUCACAGGAAGGGGAGUCCAUAUAAUGGAGAUGGGUUUGUGUCACGGAAUUAUUCAACUGAAUAACAUGGACAGCUAUUCCUUAUAACAUUUGGAAACAUCUGAUAGAACUCGGACCCUUGUCAUAGCUUUUACGAUCUGCCAAAACAGCAUGGAGCCUUCAAGACAGUGAUGAUUGUUGUCUGCAUUGUUGGUCUAGGUCGAUUCUAACAUUGCAGAAAGGACUCUCUGCUUGUGUGCUGAAAUUCUCUAAUUCUUCAAUCUAGUACAAGGCAGGGGAGCUGCCAAGUGCAACUCAAGGUCAAUAGAAGCAUAGUAAAGACAUUCAUAAUCCAUGUGGGUUCUUCAAAGUUACUUAUAAAAUAUCAAAAACCUAAAAAAAGAAUAAAUCUAUAUUUCAGCCAUAUUACACAGCAAAUUGCAAAUAAGCAAAUUGUUACAAAGUAAAAAUAAAGCCACCAAAAUAAAAAUAUGUAGCAAUUAGAAUUACUUGGCAUACUAACCUAAAGACAUGUUAAAUACAUGAUAUAAAGCUGUAUUUCUGUAUUGACCACCCUAAUAGCUUUCAAAUACAGACUUCUCACUUCUUCUUAAUAUAUAAACAUCAUAGCACACCAUGCUUAUCUUUUCCAAAUACACAAGAAUCAGGGCACAGCCAUCUCGUCUCAUCCUAAUAUACAGAUAUUACAACACAACCCUCUUAACUGUUCCAAAUGUAGAGACAUACAGACACAUAUCUUCAGAACAUCUUUUUUAUACAGCCUUAAGCACUAGAGUUGAGCGGACACCUGGAUGUUCGGGAUCGGCCGAACUUUGGAAAAAAGUCCGGGCUCGAUCUUGACCCCGAACCCAAACCCCAUUGAAGUCAAUGGGGACCCUAACUUUUAGGCACUAAAAUGCCUCUAAAAAAGUCCUGGAAAGGGCUAGAGGGCGGCAAAAGGAAGUAAAAUGGGGGUAUGAGUAGGCCAAGUGCCCUGCAAACAAAUGUGGAUAGGGAAAUCACUUAAAAUAACAUAAAAAUACAGCUGAGCCAUAAAAUAGCACUAGAUGGAAUCUUUGAUUUUAGCUUUGGAAGAACAUAAAUCAAAAUCUAAAGCAUGGCUGUCAAGAGGAUCAACAGAAUUAUCCAUUUGAGAGAGGGUUGGAGUGCAGGGUAUUCUUUCAUUGUUCAAACUGAGCUCAACUCCUGAUGCAUGGAGAAAAGGCCUUCACAAGCCUCUGCUAUUGUGUACAUAGUUUAUACUACGUGACCCAUAGGUUGAGGAGGCGGUGGCCGUGGCGGUGUAGGUGGAAGCAGCGGUGGAGGAGGAGGAGGUAGCCAACACUGUUUUUUAUAUAUAUUAGAAGAGCAGAUCAGAGACUAUCCCUUUAUUACCCAUAAUUAUUAUUUAUUUUUAUUUUUUUAAAUUGGGGUAGCCCCCAAAAUAUUGGGACAUAUAAAAAAUAAAACUCUAUUCCGCAGAGCAACUGACCCGUGCAUGCUGCAUCUGAAACUCCACUAUCACCUGCUGCUCGCACAGUCUCUCAUGAGGCGGUGAGCAUGAAGGCCAAAGUUAAGCUGCAGCGCAGACAGGUGAGCAGCAGCAGGGUGAGAAUGCCGAAAGCGUGCACAGACGGCCCGCACUUUCUGCAGCAGCUCUGAUAUAUCUGGGUAUACACCGUGGCGGUGUAGGUGGAAGCGGCGGUGGAGGAGGAGGAGGAGCCAACAGGAGGCAAAGCGGUGUACCCAAAUAAAGAUUGUCAAACGUUGUAUCCUGGAACUGUGUCCCAUCCGGUUACUGGGGAAAUGGGUCUGACCUAUUCUAAUUAAAGGGGAUAGCCAUCGGUUACCCAGGUCCCGCUUAAAUUGGUGGCAAGCGGCGGGAUCCCAUGUCCCUGCCCAGGGCCGGUGCUAGGAUUUUUGACUACACAGGUGAAGAUGCAUUUUGACGCCCCCCCCACCCCCCCCAAAAUAAAAUACAAUGCAUCUUCACCUCUGUGUCUCGUAGCCCCCUUUUGAAUUUCUUACCCCCAUUAGUGUUGCAUAUCCACUCUCUUGAAUGUCUUAUCCCUUUGGCCCCUUUGUGCCUUACACCCCCCUUUAGUGUGUCUCCUACAACACCUCUUAUGUAUUUCUUACUUCCCCGCCAGCCCCUAUCUAUCUCUCUUUUUCUCCCACAUAGACAUAGAUACAGGCAAAAAUACAUACAUGCACAAAUACACAAACAUACAGACACACAACCAUACAAGCACACAGACAUAAUUUUUCAGGCACACAGUCACAAAGAUAUACAGACACACAGUCAUAAAAGGCACACAAACAAACACAGUCAUACAAUCUACACAUACAGGUACAUUGUCAUACAAACACAGACAUACAUUCAUACAGACACAGGCCCUCACAGAAAUACAGACUGACAUAAAGAAACAUAGAGAUAGGCAUACAGAGACAUACAUACACAGACAAACAAAUAACCCUGCACACUGAUACCGUGUAAAUGCUCCGGCCAUCAACAGUGGUGGAUGCUCCGUGUCAGGCGGACAUCGCUGGAUCCACCAGUAAAGUCUUCAAAAGGAAUAAACGCAGGCAACACUCCAAUAGUAAGGAUGGUAUAUUUAUUGGUAGGUGAACCACCCCAUAGAAAGUGUGAUGUUUCAGCUCAUGCAAUAAGGCUCUGCUGAGCUGAAACAACGCACUUUCUUUGGGGUGGUUCACCUAUCAAUAAAUAUACCAUCCGUACUAUUGGAGUGUUGACUGCGUUUAUUCCUUUUGAAUACAUACACACAGUCAUACAGAGACAUACAUACUGUAUGUCUCUGUAUGACGGUCUGUGUAUGUACACAGGAUGGCUAAAAGAUAGAUCCCCAUCUGUCGUGCAACUUCAACAAUGCUUUGAAAGCUGGGGCUCUACCGAUUCCCCAUGCUUGCAGUAUUGUAUUUAGCAUGGAGCAGUAUUUGUGUGUUUGACUGUAAGCAUGUGUUUGUAUGGAGUAUGUUUGUAUGAUUGUAGCAGUGUGUUUGUAUGUAGUGUUUGCAUUUGAAUGCAAGCAUGCAUUUAUGUGUAGUGUUGGUUUUUGAACGUAGGUGUGUGUUUAUAUAUAAUUUUGGUGUCUGAUACAGAGGUGUGUUUGUAUGUAGUGUUGACAUUUGAAUGCAGGGGUGUGUUUGUAUGUAGUGUUGUUGUUUGCAUGCAAGUGUUUAUUUGUGUGUAGUGUUGGUGUUUGAAUGCUGAGAUAUAUGCACAUAUACACAUACACUGCCACACACGCACACACUGUGAUACACAUACACAAAGAUACACACACUGACGCACAUGCAGAUAUACAUAUACACAAACGGAUACACAUUCAGAUAGACAGACACACAUAUACAGAUACACACAAACACUGACAGACAUACAGAUAAACAUACACUGACAUACAGACACGCUGACAGACAUACAGAUACACACAUACACAAUGAUAGACAUACACAAACACACAAAGACACACAGACAUACACACACUGACAGACAUUUAGAUACACACAGACACACGGACAGAGACAUUUACAUACACACACACACUGACAGACAUAGAUACACACACACUGACAGACAUAUACAAACAUACAGAUACACACAUACACAAUGAUAGACAUACACAAAGACACACUAACAGACAGACAUACACACACACUGACAUUUAGAUACACACAAACACACGGACAGAGACAUAUACAUACACACACACUGACAGACAUAUACAAACACACUGACAAACAUACAGAUACACACAUACACAAUGAUAGACAUACACAAAGACACACUAACAGACAGACAUACACACACACUGACAGACAUUUAGAUACACACAAACACACGGACAGAGACAUAUACAUACACAAACACUGACAGACAUGGAUACACACACACACUGACAGACAUGGAUACACACACACACUGACAGACAUGGAUACACACACACACACUGACAGACAUAGAUACACACACACACACUGACAGACAUGGAUACACACACACACACACACACACACACACACACACACACACACACUGACAGACAUGGAUACACACACACCUGACAGACAUGGAUACACACACACACUGACAGACAUAGAUACACACACACACACCGACAGACAUGGAUACACACACACACACUGACAGACAUAGAUACACACACACACACUGACAGACAUGGAUACACACACACACACUGACAGACAUGGAUACACACACACACACCCGACAGACAUAGAUACACACACACACACACACUGACAGACAUGGAUACACACACACACUGACAGACAGGAUACACACACACACACUGACAGACAUGGAUACACUACACACACACACACACACACACACACUGACAGACAUGGAUACACACACACACACUGACAGACAUAGAUACACACACACACACUGACAGACAUGGAUACACACACACACACACACUGACAGACAUGGAUACACAAACACACACACACACACACACUGACAGACAUGGAUACACACAGACACACUGACCAACAGGUUCAGGAGGGGGGCUUACCUGGGAUCCAAAGUGCUGCCUGAGGUAGUUGGGAGUUGGAGGAGCUGGUCCUGCCCAGCCCCCCUCCUCUCUGCCUUCUGCUGCUCUAGUCUUCUUGGGAGGACUUCCUCCCAUGCUGAUUAGAAAGGGGCCAGUGGUAGCUCCGCCCCUGCUGGGCGCCAGCCGCGCUGUGUGCUACAGUGGGAGCAGGGAUAUGACGUUCAUAUCCCCGCCCCCUCCACACAGUCCGCGGCACUGCAGGGUGGCGCUCGGCCACGCUACAAGAAGUGACCGGCAGGAGAGGGGAGCUGUGCGCUUCCCUCCUGCCGGUCACCCGGACAUUUCGCCCCCGGGCCGGUGCGCCCUAAGGCGGCCGCCUGUGCCGCCUUAUGGACGCGCCGGCCCUGUCCCUGCCAACAGACCCAUGGACUACAGUGCUCUAAAGCGACCUACACUGCAGGACUUGUGUGGAGCCAGAGGAAUAACGCCUGGUGGGCAUAACAAGAUAACAAGGCCAAAUUGACUGCUGCUCUCAUGCACGCAGUGAGGCAACGAACCCCAGCCAGGGGCCGGAGAUGAGGAGGAAGUGCGCAAGGAGUUGGAACGGUGCCUGGCAUAUUACCGAGAGCAACCCUCAGAGGAGAUUGUCAGCAGGACCUUUUUGGAGGUGCAAGCCUAUGUCUUUGCCAAUAGACAGAGGGCGACCUCCAUGAACCCAGAUGAAGGGAGCAGAGGGAGAAGACUUUGAGUGCCAGUGCCUACUCCAAAAAGUGGACCCCAGCGACUGGGUCACCUUCCUGGCCAGCAAACUAGUGAGGAAGGCAGCAGAUAUUUACCGGGCUGUAUCAGAAGAGCAGAUCAGAGACUAUCCCUUUAUUACCCAAAUCCUCCUGGCCCGGUAUGCGGUCACCCCCAAGCAAUACCGCUGAAAGUUUAGGAAGACCCGGAAAGGGGAGAAGGACUCCCAUGCAGAGUGGGCAAGCCGCAUCACAAGGGCCACCCAGAACUGGCUCAAUUCCCAUCAAGCCAAGUUAUGAAGAAGAUCACCCAGCUCGUCAUGCUAGAGCACUUUUUCAAUGUGCUCCCCAACGACAAGACGACAACGCAUUCGUAUGUCAAUCCAUAUCAACUUUCGAUGCCAUUUACUGCACCUACCAUGGUGACCACUGAUAACGGGGAAUCAGGGUUUCUGUAAUUGUAAUGAGUCCACUUGAAAUCCUUUAACUCUGAUCAACUGGAGGGCAAGUCUGGUGCAGAGCGACUGACCCGUGCGUGCUGCAGCUGAAACUCCACUAUCGCCUGCUGCUGCUCGCACAGUCUCUCCAGCUUGUGCAAGGUGGAAUUCCACCUUGUGGGCACGUCGCAUAUGAGGCGGUGAACUGGAAGGCAAAAGUUACGCUGCAGCAGCAGGGUGAGAACGGCGAGAGCGCACAGCCGCUACAGUGUAUGUCACAUCCUGUUCCAAGUUGCGUAUCAGUCUGAUGGCUUCUGGUAUCCAGUACUCCUAACUUCAACAUCAUGCAUACUGGGUCCCGGUCUUCCGACUGCUGCCCAGACAGUGUCUGGGUCCCGGUCACCGGACUGCGAAACUGCGAAUGGCUCGUUAAGUCUGUUAUGGUUCCUUUUAUCGUUUCAUUUGUUACUUGAAUUACUGUGGGAAUUCUAAAGAUAAUACAUGCCGACGAGCGCUAGGGGACGGCUGCGCCGCUUUUGCACCCUUCUCCCUCUUAUGCUGUGCUGGUGCCUCUGUGCGACCAGCGCCUCUUCCUCCAAACUGCACACGUCACUCGCAUGAACUUGAUUCCAUGUGGGGUCUAGGACCUCAUCCUCCACAUCAUCUUCCACCCACUCCUUAACCCUGCCUUCAUUGCCGGUCUGCACACUGCAGAAAGCCACAGCAGUUGGCACCUGUGUUUUUCCAGCAUGUAAAGUCUGCAAAGGACAUAUGGAAAUUGUUUUAGAAUUGUAUCCAGGCAACAGUUUUCCCUAUAAACUGACCUCUCAGUUUGACUUGUGAGGGUAUUGCCCCCGAAUUACAAUAUUGUUAUAUAGGUAUUUGACACUUCUAUUUGACUCUCAGAUAUGAAAAACACGCUCAAUAUGUACUGUUUAGCACCAAAACAAUUAGAAUUUUUACAACUGCGCUGUAAGUGCACUAUUUGACGCUUCGAUUUGACUCUCAGAUAUGAAGAGCACGCUCCAAAUUUACUAUUUUGCAGUUUAGCACCAAAACAAUUAGAAUGUUUACAACUAUUUGACGCUUCUAUUUGACUCUCAGAUAUGAAGACCAUGCCCAAAAUGUACCGUUUAGAAGCAAAACAAUUCGAAUUUUUAAAACAGUGCUGUAAGCGCACUAUUUGAUGCUUCUAUUUGACUCUCAGAUAUGAAGAGCACGCCCAAAAUGUACUAUUUAGCAGAUUAGCACCCAGAAAAUAAGAAUGUUUACAAGUGCGCUGUAAGCGCACUAUUUGAUUAUUAUAUUUGACUCUCAGAUAUGAAGAGCAGGCCCAAUAUGUACUGUUUAGCAGGAAAACAAUUAGAAUUUUUACAACUGCGCUGUAAGUGCACUAUUUGACGCUUCUAUUUGACUUCCAGAUAUGAAGAGCACGCCCCGAAUUUGCUAUUUAGCAGUUUAGCACCAAAACAAUUAGAAUGUUUACAACUGUGCUGUAACUGCACUCUUUGACGCUUCUAUUUGACUCUGAGAUAUGAAGAGCACCCCACUAAUGUACUUUUUUAGCACCAAAAGAAAUUUACUUUUUAAAACUCCGAUGUAACCGCAGUAUUUGCUGCUUCUAUUUGACUCUCAGAUAUGAAGUGCACCCCACUAAUGUACUAGUUUGCAGAAUUAUUUCCUAAUCUGUCCCUGAAAACGGCAGCAUCCUGUCCCUACACUAAUAAGAGCUCAUGUGACGUGUGGCGCUAUGUGACUCCAGCUUAUUUAUAGAGGCUGGGUCACAUGCUGCACUGGCCAAUCGCAGCCAUGCCAUUAGUAGGCAUGGCUGUGAUGGUUUCUAAGGGCACAUGAGUCAAACGCUUGUUGAUUGGCUGCCCUGCAGCCUUUGAAAAUGCGCCAUUAAAUCGCCGAACACCGAACUCCAACCCAAACAUACAGUGAUAUGUUCGGGUCCGGGGUCAAAAAAACGUAAUGUUCGGUACGAACCCGAACUUUACAGUCCGGGUUCGCUCAACUCUAUUAAGCACCCAUUUCACAUCCGCUCAAUACACAGAGAUCGGGAUUUUCACCUCUCCACAGAAUGCUCAAUUCUAUUCUAUGUUUGACCUCAGUGAACUCUAUUUCUUGCAGACAAACCUGGUGUAUGUCCUCCUGUUGUAAGCUUGGCCCUUGGAGUGUGUGGGACAUCUUGUAAAACAGAUAGUGAAUGCAUUGGUAAUUUGAAAUGCUGCCGAACAGGAUGCGAUGGGUACCAAUGUCAAACGCCAAAUGGUAAGAUUACACUAUUGAUAAGUUGUUCUUUUUACACAUCCUCUGAAUUCUCCUGUGCAAACAAUUCUCAUGGGCUCAAUCCCACCGCUUAGUUAGGAAGACUACCAUCUCUUUGCAUCCAGGGUUCAAAGUCACACUUCUUAUGCCCAGUUUCUUUCCAACAGCUAGCUCAAUGCAUUUCGUCCCAUGUCCUUGGACUUCCUCAGGAGUUGCUUUCCCACUUAGAGUUCAGAAUUUAAAUACGCCCUUUCCCGCAUCCAUACGAUUCAGCGCUUUACUGAGUGUCGGGACCGAUUUGCAUAUGUGCCGGAUCAUGUGAAUGUGGUAAAUGAAGUAUUUCAAUGUUAAACUCCAGAUGAGAAAUCAUCUCCCGAUGAAGUCCGAGGACAAGGGACAAAACGCGUUGAGCUAAGACUCCCACAAGAUAGCUAGCUGUUGGAGAGGAGCCAGGUAUAUGAACUGGGACUUCGAAUCCUGGAUGCCAAGAGAAGGUAGUCUAACCUAAGCGGUGGGAUGGAGCUCUUGGUGGCACUGUUUUAUUUGCACAUUUGUUUGUAUAUGUGAAAUUCAUUUUUUGGUUGUUUUUUUAACUGUUUUAUCUAUCUUUUAAAUUGAUUUACUACACUAUGAUUACACGAUUACUGUUUUUAUCUACGUUAAAUACUAUAGUCACCAGAACAACUACAGCUUAUUGUAUUUGUUCUGGUGAGUAUAAUUAUUCCCUUCAGGCUUUUUGCAGUAAACACUGUCUUUUCAGAUGGCUACUAGAGUUGCCUCCUGGGUCAGUGUUGCACAGUGAGCAGCACUGCCAUUCAGUGUCUCCACCCUCUGCAUGAAGACACUGAACUUUCCUCGUAGAGUUGCAUUGAUUCAAUUAAUCUCUAUGAGGAGAUGCUGAUUGGGCAGGGCUGUGUUUGACCUGUGCUGGAUCUGCCACUGACCUACCUUCUUGACAAGCUCAGUAAAUCCAAAGCUUUCCUGUCACUUUUGAUGAUGUCAGGCAGAUCAGGGACAGAGCCAGCAGCAGACUGGAAUUAAUGUAAGAUAUUGCUAUAUUUAUGGGGGUAAGGAGGACCCAGGGGAUUAGAUGGUAGUUUUAACACUAUAGGGUCAUACAUAAAUGUUUGUGUUCCUGACCCUAUAGUGUUCCUUUAAUGUAUGCAAACAUCUCUAAUUCAGUGUAAUGUUUCAUAACCGAUAUCCAAAUACCAGAGUGGUAACUGUACAAUUUAUUGACCCUGGUGAUGUGGCAUCCUCUACUACAUGUAGGGUUUUCUGUACGUACUUUUGUUGCAUGUAUAUUUUAAGGAUUGGAGAGUCAUCCUUUUAUAGAGGUUGCCUUCACUAAGUGUUUUUUACCUGACCGUUCAUAAGCCUGUUUGUUUACUUUUGCACUAUUUUGUUUAUAUAGAGCUAGAUACAUCUUUAUUUAGAUUACUGCUCCCCCUUGGGUUUUUGAUGGAUUAAAAUAUUUGUUCUGGUGAGUAGAAUCAUUCCCUUCAGGCUGUUUGCCGCAAACACUGUCUUUUCAGAGAAAAUGCAGUGUUUACAUUACAGCCUAGUGAUAACUCCACUGGCCAAUCCUCAGAUGGUUACUAGAGGUGUUUCAUGGGUCAGUGCUGCACAGUGUAUCCACCCUCUGCAUGAAGACGCUGAACUUUCCUAAUAGAGAUGCAUUGAGGAGAUGCUGAUUGGCCAGGGCUGUAUUUGACUUGGGCUGGCUAUGCCCUUAAUCUGCCUCCUUGACAGUCUCAGCCAAUCCUACGAGGAAGCAUUGUGAUUGGCUCAGACCACCACUUCUGAUGUCAGCAGGUAGUUUUAGGGCAGAGCAAACAACUGCAGAUUUGAAUACAAGUAAGAUUUUACUAUAUUUAAGGAGGCAAGAGAGGGUCAGAGGGGGGCUAUAUGGUGGUUUUAACGCGAUAGGGUCAGGAAUAUAUGUUUGUGUUCCUUUAAGGAGGAAGAGUUUCUAGUAGCUGUCAACCUGGUUUAUAGAAAAAUAGACUUUAUAGGUGGUAGAAAUCUAGAUGUAUCAAAAGUAUGUAUUAUGUCAUCACAUGGUUUUUGGAGUUUUUUUUGCUACACUUUGCAUAAGAAUUUAAUCUCUUUUCUGUCCCAAGGCAGCCGCCAUUGUAAAUCUGCUCCAAGUAUUCAUUCUGUCACAUAUUCUCAAGUACUCCUCCUUUGACUAUUACCUAAGUAUCUGCUUGCUUCGUCCACUAUUGUCAUACAUUGCUUCCUGUUUACGAACAUGCUGUGUCUGAAGUCUGUGGUUAUAACGUACCCAAAGCCAUUCAUUAGUGCUUGAUUACUAACCACUGUCUUGAUGACUGGGCUUGUGGCCAGGCAGUGCAUUAUUAUAGUAGUCAACAUGUGUUUAUGUGUUUGACGCUCGUGAUUAAAAAUGCUGUUUUAUCUUAAAAUAUUUUCUUGAUCUACUUUUAGAAAAACCAGGAAUUUGCCCUGAGAAUUCAAAUAGCACCACCUGUGACAGUACAAUUCACUGCUCAGUUGACUCAAAAUGUAAGGGGGACCUGAAAUGCUGUCCAACCGGAUGUGAUGGUUUCGCCUGCCAAAUUCCUAAAAGUAAGUAUUCAUGGUAAAAAAAGCCAGUAGAAAAAAAAACAAGCAUUGGUGAAAAAGUAUGGCAACAUAUAGAGGUGUUUAUCUGACAAAUUGCACACACUCCCAAUCUGAGUUAUAAAGCACUUAUUACCUAUAUGUUCUGGACGCAAAGGGGAAAAGGAUACCUGAUUUGGUUAGUGUCAGACUCUCUCAUGCGGGAUAAUUUCAUCAAAAUUGCAACAAGGUACAUAAAAAACAACAACUCAAACUGUUGAUAUUGCAGAAAUCUUUGAGAUUGUCUCAAUAUAUUUAUAAAACCAAAUGAACACCUCAAACCUUAGAUACAAAUAUUAAGAUCUUAGAUACAAACAGAAAGCUUUUACGUUUGCCAAACAUUAAAUGGAAAUUGUAUAUUGGCCAGAUUUUGUCUUGAGACUGACACAUCUGGUCAAAAAAAGUAACUUGCUUUCUGCUAGGGAUUUGAAAGAAUUCUGCACUAUUCUUUCACUGGUAUCGCUAGCAGGCAAAUAGUUAGCAAACUUUCGGAAGGGCAAUGGUUUACUAUUCAGUGGCUGGCUAGCUGUAAAAAUAAAAAAUGCUUUGACUUGCCUUAUUAGAGUGCUAUGUUUAAUUGUCAAUGUCACCUUGAAUCAUCAGUCUGUGUGGAGCCCUCCACUGGCUCACUUGAAUUAAUUUUUGUAAGGCGGUUUUUCAUUUAUUGUAUUUUUUUUUCUUUUUUUUUCUUUGUACUCUGGGUAUUUCUUUAAAAUUUUAUUUUAAGAAUCAGCACAAAUUAUGCAUUUUUAUUUGGCCUUUUUUUGGAUCUGAAAAAAUAAGAAAUUAGACAAAAGAAGCAUAUUGAGUCCUCCCACUGUUAUUAGGGUGAUGGAGGAUGUAGAGACAAAUUUAAAGAGGGUGACUAGGACCUUGGGGAUGUCCACCCCCCUUAUUGUCGCAAUAACCUUCCUUGGUGGGAGGAUAAGCGGGUGGACAGUAGCAUGUUCACCCCCUUUAUUAUUGUAAUAACCCCUACCUGAUGCCAAUGGGUAAAGGGGGUGGACAGUGGCAUAUCCACUCCCCCCCCCCCUUUAUUAGAUUUAUCGACCCAUGAGAGUAGUGUCCCCGGCCCCGAUCUGUAGGCAUUAGGUGGGAGGAUAUAUAAAUAUAAUAAAUGAUUGGCAUGCCACUGUCCACUUCCCUUGACAACCACUCACAGGCAUCAGGUGGAGGGCAAGACUUAUACACCCCCCACAACCAUAUACCCAUGGCAGUGGCGGAUCCAGAGCCUGAUCUCGGGAGGGCCACUUGUAGAUUAUUUAAAGAAAUAAUCCAGACACAAUAACCACUACAGCUCAGUGUAGUGGUUAUGGUGUCAAUAGUGGCGGGACCCCCUCCCAGAGUAAGUAGUCAAACUGUUUAAGAACAGUUUGACAACUUACCUGAGGUCUGCUGGGAAAUGGGGCUGUAGUAGGGCAUAGGAGCAGUGGUGUGUGUGUGGUGCAAUGUGUAAGGGGUGCAGUUUGUGUGUGAAGGUUGUAGUGUGUGAGUGAGGGCGGCAGUGUAUGUCAGGGAUGCAGUGUAUGUGUGGGACAGUAUGUAUGUGAGUAUUGCAGUGUGAGUGUGGGCAAUGUGUGAGUGUGGGGCAGUGUGUGUGUGUGAUAAGAAGGGUAGGGGGGCUUUAUAAAAAAAAAAAUAAAAAAAAAAAUAUAUAUAUUUUUAUUUAAUUAAAACAAAUAUUUAUGGCCCCCCUCCCUCCUUACCUUUACUGGGAGGAGGGGGGACAUUUCUGGAUCCUGGGUGGUCCCAGUGGUGAGAGUGAACUCUAGCCCGUAGUUCCAGGGCUAGAGUUCACUCUCGCGAGAUUUGGAGAGUUGCCGUGGUAACCGCGGCAACGCUCCGUCCUCGCGAGAGUAGGACCCGGAGGAGCUGAAGGCUGAGGUCCCGGGUCCUUCCUCCCUACCCUGCCAGCUGUCAGCACAGUGCCUGCGGACCGGGGAGGAGGAGAUCACUUAUCUCCCCUCUGGUCCGCGAAGGCACAUUGCAGGGCUGGCACCUGCAUGUGCUGGCAGGGGAGAGGGAGACCCUAAAUUGCCCCGAUCCGCCACUGACCCAUGAGUGGGUACUCGAAUCUCCCUGUGAACUUAGAAGUCCAAUCCCAAUAGUAUAGGGUCUUUAGAGCACUCUUUUCUUUUUAAGCCCUUCACUGCUGGGCAGUAGAGUAGGAUAAAGGUGAACCAUGUAAUGGUCCUCUCAUUCUAAUACCUCAUUCCACUGGCAAUAUAGAUAGUCUUCACCUGUGACCUGUCAAAGUAUUUAUUUAUCCCAUUAAUUAUGUGGGGGUCUUUUUGACCCCAAUGGAAUGUUUUUUUUUUUUUUAAUAAAUGCCAAUUGGCUAGCAAGUGCAGGACAACCUCCAUACUUUUAACCCUCGCAAUGCUGAGAUGUCGUUUAAAAAAACAACAAAAAAACAAAAAACAAAACUAUUUGGCCACUGGCUGGCAAAUCGUAUAGAUUUCUGAAAUCCGGCUUUUAACUGAUCUAGAUCCAUAUUUCAGCCAUUUUUAAAUAGUGCGAAAAAUUGAACAAUGUCUGUAUUUUGCUGUUGAGAGGCCAACAGAUAGAUCCAGGUUUUUACGAUGUACUAAUUAUAAAAAUAUUUUGUGUUAAACUAUUGAUAAAUAACCAUUUGAUAUAUUCAAGACAUUUGACCUGGUGUGACUUAAAUUGUCAUGACAGGUCAAAUUGUAUCUUGAUAACAAACGCUAAUGAUAUUUUUACGAAAAUAACCCAUUUAUGGUUUUCUUUAUUCUGUAUAAUAUUGUUACUCUGAAAUGUGUUACUUUUUAACAAAGAUUAAUAAAGAUGUAAUUAAACAAAUAAAAUCAUCCCACAAAACCAAAAGCUAAUUAAUCAGGUGAUGGUGAACAGCUUGUAUAAACUUUAAACCACAGAAUAUGCAUACUACCAGGGCCUGAGAUGUGGCUAAAGUUCAUCAACACCAGUUGCACACAAACCCCUGAGAAAGUUUGAGUCAGGAUGGUAGGAUCUUGAUAAAAAUCUUUACCCACUUACUUAAUAGUUUGCGAUUAUUAUUAUUUAUUUUUUUUUAUUCUGUUGUGUUAAGAGGAUUUGGUUAAUUGGGCUUCCGCUGAUAGGUUGUAACUUGAUACUGUUAAAACUAACAAGUCAAAUAAUAUGAUGUAUCUGUUAACACCAAGAGACCUCAACUAAUGCAAAUGAGCGAUGCCAUGUUAUAUGCCUGAUCGGUUCAUUCUAUGUAUAAUAUUGUAUGUACAUCAGAUAGUGUAACCAAAGCCACUUUGUAAAAAAGCUAAUUGAAAACAUAAAAGCUCUAAUCGGGCCUGGAAUUUUUCAGGAACCCACUUGGGUCUCCAACCUAGGUCAGCCCUUCUUCCUCUAUGAAUAAAAAUAUUUUGAACUCUAAAUUCUACAUUAAGCUCAUGCUCAUUAACUUUCUAUCUUGUGAUUUUACAGCGAUAUAACACUUUCUCAGAAAAACAACAUGAGCGAUGAAGAAACAUUUUAAGUCUACUUGUGGAUAUGAAUUUGUCCUAUUACACAACUGUGUACUUGAGAAUAAUCUUUUGUAUGGUGAUUAAAGAAAUAUAUAAAUAAAAAAAUUGAAGUUUGUUUGCUUUCACCUGUACUUGGGAAUGGUGAUACCAAAUGCCUACAAUCAUAUCUUAAUUUUAUCAAUUGAAAACUAAAGAAAAAUAUGCACAACCAUUAAAGGAACACUCUAGUGUCGGGGGUACGAACUAUAUUCCUGCCACUAUAGUUCUAAAGUAGCUGUUUAGGCAACCAGGCUCACUCAGAUAUCUUAAUUAUCUCAGCCAAGCCAAUCCAAUCCAAUAAGCAAGCAUUGGGAGACUAUUGCACAUGUGUGAGAAAAUAUCUCUAAGGGGAACGUUCAACACCUCCAUGCAGAGUAUAAAAGAAAUUGAACGCCAGUGCUGCAUACUAUGCAGCAGCACUGGAUAAGGAAACACCGCUAGUGGCCAUCUGAGUGACCGCCACUAGAGGUGAUCCCAGGCACCAAUGAAAACACUACAGUGGUUACACCAAAACCACUACAUUAAGCUGAGGUGGUUCUGAUGAUUAGUGUCCCUUUAACCUCUAAUAAAAAGUUUUGAGAUUGUAGUUCCACCCUAUAUUAUCUACCCUUUCCUGGUCGUGUGCGUGAAACCACUCAUGUCCAGGGGAUAUGGUAGCACCCACUGACCUCCGUGUUAACUCUCACAGUCACGCAAGAGUCAGCACUGAGGAUUGGAGUGAAAUGGUGUUUUUGUUUUUUCCUAAUUUUUUUAAUUUUUUUUUUUUUUAAACUCACAUUUUCAUUUAAGUGUAUUCUAAAGUUCCAGAUAAGAGACAUGACAAUUUUUUUUUUUUUUUUAAACAGUUCAGAUUCUGAUAGAUGGAUUUGAUAGGUCUAUGGCUCCUUUUGGGGUACUAUUGUGGUUUGAUUCUUCAAGUAACCCUACAACGACCUACCAUUUGUUAAAGUAAACCUCAUGUGGUGUGUCAUGAUCUAUUUUGAUCUUUGUUAUACAGCCAUUUUAGCACCACCCUCCCCUCCCAAAACAAAGUUGAAAAAUUGCUACUUUAAUAAAAACAACAUAUUAAAUUGUGCUCAGCUAGAUCUCCGGAGUACGGAAUGACCCAAUUCACACACCACUAUAGCAGAGGGAGCUAUAGUGCUAGGAAUACAGCUUUGUAUUCCUGGCACUAUAGUAUCCCAUUAAGGGAAGAACAAACCAUUUAGUCAUAAAGGGGAUAUAUGUCAAAUAAAAAUAUAUUACAAAACAAAUUAUACUAAGCAAACAGACGAAAUCAAGAUAAAUCAACAGAAAGCUCAAAUACUCACAGUCCUAGUGAAGCAACACUAUGUUCUGUCCUGAGAGAUUCUAGUGAACAAUUAUCCAACACAACUGCAAUUUGGCUGGUUGAGAAUAUAUUUUUACAGUCACCAACUAUGUGUAUGUAGUGUGACUACCAGACCGUGCUCUGGAAUAUUUAUAUAUACACAAAUCAAUUAUGUAAACCAUACAUCCGUUAGCCAUUUGGCUAGCACAACUUGUCAACAAAAUGUUCUACCUGAAUACGAACUUACUAACCAACCAUUUGGUCACAUAUGAGGACCUGGAACUUAUUUGUGACUUUCCUACAGUUCAUAAGAAUAUUGUUGGAACCAAAGCACUUCAGCUGUCAGCCUUAUUGACUGGGGCCUGGCUAGAAAGUGCUUCUUAAGGAGGGCAAUAUCUCUAAGUAAAGGAAAAUAUGUGCAUGUAAUUUGUACCUAUAGUAGGAUUUUGCUGCUCCAGGUGUUUUUCAUCCUUUGUGGUGUUAAUCAGGAAUAAACCAAGAAUGGAAUUCUUCCUCUAUCACACAGCAUGAAACACUUGGCAAGAUAUUGUGUUGUAUAUUUUUGGGGGUUAAUAAUGUCACAAAAAUGCCACUAUUUUGCUGGUGACAAUUCUAUUUUUUUCUUAGCACAUCUUCUCAACGCCCUGGGCCCCAUAUUCCCAUGAUUCUCUGUAUACACAAGCACCCAGACGUGUGCCACAAUUCCCUGUGUAUAAAAAGUGUCAUGUUGGCUUAUUAUGCAUUUUGCAAUGGUGUCAGUUUUCUUAAUUUUGUUCACAAAUUAGUGUUUUCUAAUGUGAUAAAAAAAAAUUAUUUAAAAUAGGGUCUUUAUAACAAGUUUUUCAUCCACUCCAAAAGUGGUGAAUUUGUCAUAGGCAAGGAGCUUUUGCCGUCUUUGUUUUAAU
This 19162-nucleotide long non-coding RNA is filed under the name Pelobates cultripes (western spadefoot toad). The record is from RNAcentral. Lineage: Eukaryota; Metazoa; Chordata; Amphibia; Anura; Pelobatidae.